UCGAGACGCGGGACCACGACCACUCAUUUCUUUCUCUCCCGAACCUAAGGACGCGGCGAGAUCUGUUUUGCUUUCGUGCACAAAUUCUGAGUCAAUAUAUUUCUCUAAAAAGUCUUGUUUUAUUAAUUUUUCCCAAUAUUUAUAUCUUAUCGGUAAUUAUAUUAUUGCUUUACAGUAUGUCGUUGCUCGAUGUAAAAAGAUCUCACAUUGCACUUGAAAAAGAGGACGUGAAAGAGAACCAACCAAAGAUUGUUCGGAGAUCACCAAGGCACCUCCCGACGGAAUUAAAG
Belonocnema kinseyi is the source of this 290-nucleotide long non-coding RNA. RefSeq lists it as uncharacterized. The transcript is spliced from 2 exons. The record is from RefSeq and is a predicted model, not a curated record. Lineage: Eukaryota; Metazoa; Arthropoda; Insecta; Hymenoptera; Cynipidae.